This 879-nucleotide ribosomal RNA is filed under the name Fungiacyathus marenzelleri. RNAcentral's name for it is "partial 12S small subunit ribosomal RNA". It matches the Rfam family "Bacterial small subunit ribosomal RNA", at positions 314 to 1493 of the family's 1533-position model. Lineage: Eukaryota; Metazoa; Cnidaria; Anthozoa; Scleractinia; Fungiacyathidae. The record is from RNAcentral.
UUUCACUGAAACAAGGGAAAAGCUCAAAUGGGGUGUUGGCCCCGAGGCAGCAGUAAAGAAUAUUGUGCAAUAUACGAAGGUAAGAUACAGAGAGGGCACCUUACCUAGCCUGUCAAAUUAAGUGCCAGCAGACGCGGUGAAACUUAAGGGUUAGUCUUAUAGGCAAAAGCGUAAAGGGUGUGAUAGGCCGCCUUAUUAAAGAGAGUAAAUGGAAUUUUUCUGUAAUGGUGGUAUGUGAGAAUAGGAAAAAGAACUUUAGACGUGAGGACUAUUUAUUUCUAAGAUUAUAAUAUGAUGGCUAAAACACGAGAGUGUGGGGAGCAAACAGGAUUAGGUACCCUGGUAGUCUAUACUGUAAAUAAUGAAAAAGAUGUGAAGCAAUCCUAAAAGGUAAGAAAUUUUCCGCUUGAGUAGUACGAUCGCAAGAUUAAAAUUCAAAAAACUUGGCUGUUCACUGUUUUAAUUAGAGGAGCGUGUCGUUUAAUUCGAUAGUCCGCGAGAAACCUUACCCAAACUUGAAUCCCCUAUUGACAGGUAUUGCAUGGCCGUCGUCAAUUUGUGUAUUAAACAUAAAACCAAUUAAACUCAGUAGUUUGUCUAUUGAAUGAAGUCAGGUCUUAUUGUCCUAAUGUUUGGGGAUUAGAUGCGCUACAUUUUCUUAUACAAUGGGAAACUUUGAAUGUGAAACCCUAAAAUAAGAGUUCGGAAGGUGCCUGGAAGAUAACGGAAAGUUGGAUUUAAUAGUAAUUGAAAAGUAGAGCGUUUCAAUGAAAUCUUUUCAGUGUUAGUACAAAUAGCCCGUCGCCUUUGCUUAGAGAGGUUGUUUGGUUGCCCCUCAAGAGGGUUCUUAAUAUCUCCGAGGUAGAGUAAGUCGUAACA